Small nucleolar RNA from Macleaya cordata, 217 nucleotides. It matches the Rfam family "Plant small nucleolar RNA U3". From Rfam's summary of the family: Small nucleolar RNAs (snoRNAs) are involved in the processing and modification of rRNA in the nucleolus. The record is from Rfam. Lineage: Eukaryota; Viridiplantae; Streptophyta; Magnoliopsida; Ranunculales; Papaveraceae.
ACGACCUGACUUGAACAGGAUCUGUUCUAUAGGAUCGUACCUCUGUAUCCUUGAGUUCUAAGGAGACAGGAACCUAAGUCUGGUCGGUGAACCAUGACCGUCCGAUCAGAGCGUGAUUAAUGGUUGGUGAUCUAUAAUGUAGGUCACUCAGCUGUAGAUGAUCGUUCUCAGCUUGUCAUCUGAUGGCUGAGAUGGUCGGGCGGUUGUCUGACAGACU